Molecule: long non-coding RNA, 353 nt
Filed under: Bos mutus (wild yak)
Lineage: Eukaryota; Metazoa; Chordata; Mammalia; Artiodactyla; Bovidae
Description: lncRNA (ENSBMUG00000015803.1)
Source: RNAcentral
CCCCGCCCAGCGAUCCACAACGUUCGGCCUCCCAGCCGCUCCCGCAGUCGGGCUGGGGCUCCACGCAGGGACCCCUGCCCUGUCCUCCUCUGGGCCCACCUGGGCGUUCCCCAUCCCAGGCAAACGGAGAAAUAAGGUCGCGAGGCAGGCUCCAUAUCCUGAGCACCGGGACCCCCAGGAUCCUCUGUGGAUGCCCCCAGGCCCUGGGGCCUGAGGACCGUGACACCCUGUCCCUGGCUCACCUGAGUUUCUCAGGCCCCAGGAUGCCAUAGAGGCCUGCCUGGCUCUGUCUCUGCAGAGACUUGCUCCUCCAGAUCUGUGGCUACAGUGCCUCUCACCUGCUCUGCGCCUGG